GUACGCCGGGGAUAACAGGCUGAUACCGCCCAAGAGUUCACAUCGACGGCGGUGUUUGGCACCUCGAUGUCGGCUCAUCACAUCCUGGGGCUGAAGCAGGUCCCAAGGGUAUGGCUGUUCGCCAUUUAAAGUGGUACGCGAGCUGGGUUUAGAACGUCGUGAGACAGUUCGGUCCCUAUCUACCGUGGGCGUUGGAGACUUGAGGGAAGCUGUUCUUAGUACGAGAGGACCGGAAUGGACACACCUCUGGUGUUUCGGUUAUGACGCCAGUCGUAUUGCCGAGUAGCUAUGUGUGGAAAGGAUAACCGCUGAAAGCAUCUAAGCGGGAAGCCCCUCCCAAGAUUAGGUCUCCCUGACAGUUUAACUGUCCUAAAGAUCCCUCGGAGACUACGAGGUUGAUAGGCACGGUGUGGAAGAGUAGUGAUACUUGAAGCUAACGUGUACUAAUUGAUCGUGAGGCUUGACCAUAUAACACCCAA
This 479-nucleotide ribosomal RNA is filed under the name Gammaproteobacteria bacterium. Its description in RNAcentral is "bacterial LSU rRNA". It matches the Rfam family "Bacterial large subunit ribosomal RNA", at positions 2463 to 2925 of the family's 2925-position model. Lineage: Bacteria; Pseudomonadati; Pseudomonadota; Gammaproteobacteria. The record is from RNAcentral.